GAUGAACGCUGGCGGCGCGCCUAACACAUGCAAGUCGAACGAUUAAAGCACCUUCGGGUGUGUAUAAAGUGGCGAACGGCUGAGUAACACGUGGGCAACCUGCCCCUUUCAUUGGGAUAGCCACGGGAAACCGUGGAUAAUACCGAAUACUUCGAGACUUCCGCAUGGAAGACUCGGGAAAGCUCCGGCGGAGAGGGAUGGGCCCGCGGCCUGUUAGCUUGUUGGUGGGGUAACGGCCUACCAAGGCAAUGAUGGGUAGCUGGGUUGAGAGACCGACCAGCCAGAUUGGGACUGAGACACGGCCCAGACUCCUACGGGAGGCAGCAGUGGGGAAUCUUGCACAAUGGGCGAAAGCCUGAUGCAGCGACGCCGCGUGCGGGAUGAAGGCCUUCGGGUUGUAAACCGCUUUCAGCAGGGACGAGGCGAAAGUGACGGUACCUGCAGAAGAAGCCCCGGCUAACUACGUG
This 467-nucleotide ribosomal RNA is filed under the name uncultured bacterium. Its description in RNAcentral is "partial 16S ribosomal RNA". It matches the Rfam family "Bacterial small subunit ribosomal RNA", at positions 28 to 507 of the family's 1533-position model. The record is from RNAcentral.